AAUUUCCAGGAGCUUCUGGGUCGCGAUUCCCUCUUCAUACUCGGCCACCUCCAGUCCACCAGUAGCCGCCGCUCAUCUCCGAUCGCUGACCACCAUAGAGAAGAGAGUAUAGGGAAGGAAUUCUCAUGUUUAGUUGUGAUUAUCUCUUGAUUUCCUCCAUGAAUCCUCACCUCUCUCUCUGUCACUGAUUGUCUUCGCAGGCCACUUCCCCAGCACCACCAGCUUCGUAGCCACAGUAAGUGCUCUGUUCGCCCCUAAUUCACAUUCUCUGUUUCUGCUGAAGGUAGGGGCCGAGUGCUUGAUUACGCCUGCAUAAAAUCCGGUCGCGUUUGAGCCUCUGUGAUAAGUCUGGAUAUGACCUCUAUCUUGUUUCUGGAUCUAGAUCCUUUGGCCGAAAUGUCUACCACCUGUUUGAUAAAAUUCCUAUACUAGAUCAGUGCCUGUUUUGAUUCAGAUUCUGACGUAGGGCUUUCCAUUGCUUAAUCAAUUCAUUAUUUUUGUCGUAUAAAAUUUACUUUUGUUUUGUUUCCUCUCAUUUCCGAAUUUAGUAGCUAUACGUUUUGGGAUUUGUUCUUGGAAUUCUUGGAUUAGACGCAUAUCCAAUGUGUACGCAAGAUGAAUACUGACUACUCCAGAACUUGGCCGAGGGCCCCUUAAACGAAAAUGAAUUGAUCCAUGCACCUAAUACUUCACUACAUGUCGUUUUGUGUUUAUCGUGCCCAAUUGCAAACAUAUUAUGAAAAAAUGUUGCUGGUUAGCUCGCUGCACGUGUUGAAAUCGCAAGUGUGAGCGAAUGCUACCAUCUCGAAUACCAAGUGCAUGCUGUGAGAGCAUUGAGUUGCUGCUCUAGUCAUCGUAUGUGCAUUCAUUUGGGUGCGCUGUGUUACUGAUUGGUUCAUCAGCUGUAUGUCCAUUUCGAAUACGUUGAGUUGCUGAUGUGGUUACUGUGUUGUGUUCGUACCGAUGUGUAAAGUUAUGGGUUAUGUCUAUACUGUGUGUGCUUGCUAUUCGUAUGUUCUGGUAUGUGUAAUCAUGUGAUUGUGUUAUUGAUGUGCUGUUUGUUGAUGCUAAGUACUUGUUGUCCUGAUCUUCUCUUUCAUUUUUUUCUGUUCUAGUGGAGAGCAUUUCUUUCAUUACUGAAGUUGACUAACAUUAUUGGAGCAUCUAGUGUCGUGCUCAUGACCGAAGGAUUCAGAGUUAUAACAGCCCAGUAUGAGGAGACCAUUGUUCAAAUUCUUUUAGACUAUGUUUACUUCAUGAAAAAUAAAUGUUUUGAAUAAUAUUUCUUAAAAAUAAUUGCUUAUAUAGCCAAAAAUAAUUAGUUAACGAAAAAUAUUUACAAUAUCGACACUAAUUUAUAUCUAAAUAUUUUCGUGAACCAUCAUUUUUGUAAGCGAUACAAACAAUUAUUUUUGAUAGAAUGAUUUUCAAAUUAUUCAUUUUCCACGAAGCAAAAAUAAUCGCUUAUAUUUUUUACGAAAAUGAAUGAUAUUGUCCACAAAAAUAUUAGAAAAUUCAGAAAAAAAAUUUCAUGUCAGUGUCAUGUAGGACACAUGGCAUCCAUGUGACUGAUUAGCAAAUUGUUGAAAGAUUUAGAACUCAAUUGGUAUAAUUAAAAGAUUGAGAACUAAAUUGCCAUAAAUGUAAUAGGUUUAAGACUUUUUUGGUGCUUUCCCCUCAAAUAAUUGAUGUGGUAUGGAGCAAUUAAUGUAUCCUAGUUAGCUCAUAACUCAAUGGCUUAAGUUUUUAAACGAAUGUUGGUUCAACUAAAUAUGUUGACUGGCUCGGACUUUGGACAUUCCCUUAGCUAUCUUCCCAAGUAAAGCUCUCCCUUGGUGAUCUCCCUGGAUUAGCCUUCUGCUGCGCGAUCCCAAAUGUUGUUUAUCAAGUUCAAUUGGGCUACCUGACUGUGUGUUUGUAUAAGAACAAUUGCAGAUUAUAAUCAGAUAUUUUUCAGACACUAGGAACUUGGUCAAUACGUGUUUGCCCAACAACAGUUUCUCCAUGUGAUGCUUGUGUUGUUUGUGCUAGCCAGGAGUUUAAUUACGUGCUCAAACUGUUUUCCUUAUUUUCACAACCAAUAUUCCUUAAACCUAUACAGAAAUCCGAUGAUGCUUGCAGUGUUCUUCGAAGAUAACUUCCUUUGCAUUCCUCUCGGUCAACCCCUCACACAUUCACACGAGCACUCCGUUUUUGUUCUAUUCUAGCAUAUUCACAUAACACACGAACACAACUUCCUUUUCGUCUUUAUAUGAUUUGUCUGCAUGCGUCUGCUUCUUUAUUCUGCAUUUGCCCAUGCUUUUAGGAAGAGGAAUAUAACUCUUCUUUCAUCAAGGCAGGGGAUGGAAUGGAGGAAACCUGAAUAAGGGGGGAUUAAGCUUAACUCGGACAGAGCAAUUAAUGUCUGUAGAGAACGGAGAAGCAGAAACUUGAGCUCUUGUGGAAGACCAUCAGGGGAACUGGAUAGCCAGUUUUCCUCGAAACACAGGAAGAGCGAAUUCUUUUAUUGCUGAGAUUUGGACGUUAGGAGGCAAAAUUAGACCUAGUGUUUCGAAUAGUGCUCUUCAUUUCCAUAAUGAAUUAGAUGCUUUAGCAGUUAUUUAUGCUCUUAAGAACAAACAGUCUCGCAAUCUUCUCAUAGAACCUCUCCUUGUGGAGUGCAGGAACUUGCAAGGAAAGAAUGCAGGUAUGCUGUGAAUUGCGCAUAUAUACAGAGAAGCAAACGGAAGCACCGCAUGCUCUGGCUAGAUUGGGAAAGGAGCAGCAUAUGCAGCUUACUAUUUUCACUAGUAUUCCAGAUGUUAUCGAAGAUACUUCGUGUAAGGAUGCACUUCAUAGUAUUUCGAAUAUUUCGACUACGAGUGAUGUAAC
This 2871-nucleotide long non-coding RNA is filed under the name Eucalyptus grandis. Its description in RNAcentral is "long non-coding RNA (EGRA_LNC001956)". The record is from RNAcentral. Lineage: Eukaryota; Viridiplantae; Streptophyta; Magnoliopsida; Myrtales; Myrtaceae.